UACGUAGGGUGCAAGCGUUGUCCGGAAUUAUUGGGCGUAAAGAGCUCGUAGGCGGUCUGUCGCGUCUGCUGUGAAAACUCAGGGCUUAACCCUGAGCUUGCAGUGGGUACGGGCAGACUAGAGUGCGGUAGGGGAGACUGGAAUUCCUGGUGUAGCGGUGAAAUGCGUAGAUAUCUGGAGGAAUACCGGUGGCGAAGGCGGCAUCCUGGACCGGCAUUGACGCUGAGGAGCGAAAGCUAGGGGAGCAAACGGG
This 253-nucleotide ribosomal RNA is filed under the name uncultured bacterium. RNAcentral's name for it is "partial 16S ribosomal RNA". It matches the Rfam family "Bacterial small subunit ribosomal RNA", at positions 524 to 776 of the family's 1533-position model. The record is from RNAcentral.